UCGAACGGAAAGGCCCUUCGGGGUGCUCGAGUGGCGAACGGGUGAGUAACACGUGGGUGAUCUGCCCUGCACUUUGGGAUAAGCCUGGGAAACUGGGUCUAAUACCGAAUAGGACCACGGCAUUCAUGUGCUGUGGUGGAAAGCUUUUGCGGUGUGGGAUGGGCCCGCGGCCUAUCAGCUUGUUGGUGGGGUAAUGGCCUACCAAGGCGACGACGGGUAGCCGGCCUGAGAGGGUGACCGGCCACACUGGGACUGAGAUACGGCCCAGACUCCUACGGGAGGCAGCAGUGGGGAAUAUUGCACAAUGGGCGCAAGCCUGAUGCAGCGACGCCGCGUGAGGGAUGACGGCCUUCGGGUUGUAAACCUCUUUCAGUACCGACGAAGCGCGAGUGACGGUAGGUACAGAAGAAGGACCGGCCAACUACGUGCCAGCAGCCGCGGUAAUACGUAGGGUCCGAGCGUUGUCCGGAAUUACUGGGCGUAAAGAGCUCGUAGGUGGUUUGUCGCGUUGUUCGUGAAAACUCACAGCUUAACUGUGGGCGUGCGGGCGAUACGGGCAGACUGGAGUACUGCAGGGGAGACUGGAAUUCCUGGUGUAGCGGUGGAAUGCGCAGAUAUCAGGAGGAACACCGGUGGCGAAGGCGGGUCUCUGGGCAGUAACUGACGCUGAGGAGCGAAAGCGUGGGGAGCGAACAGGAUUAGAUACCCUGGUAGUCCACGCCGUAAACGGUGGGUACUAGGUGUGGGUUUCCUUCCUUGGGAUCCGUGCCGUAGCUAACGCAUUAAGUACCCCGCCUGGGGAGUACGGCCGCAAGGCUAAAACUCAAAGGAAUUGACGGGGGCCCGCACAAGCGGCGGAGCAUGUGGAUUAAUUCGAUGCAACGCGA
This 887-nucleotide ribosomal RNA is filed under the name uncultured Mycobacterium sp. Its description in RNAcentral is "bacterial SSU rRNA". It matches the Rfam family "Bacterial small subunit ribosomal RNA", at positions 62 to 964 of the family's 1533-position model. Lineage: Bacteria; Bacillati; Actinomycetota; Actinomycetes; Mycobacteriales; Mycobacteriaceae. The record is from RNAcentral.